UACGAGGGGUCCUAGCGUUGUUCGGAAUCAUUGGGCGUAAAGGGUGCGUAGGUGGCUAUGUAAGUCAGGUGUGAAAGCCCCGGGCUCAACCCGGGAAGUGCAUCUGAUACUGCGUAGCUUGAGUACCGAAGAGGAUAGUGGAAUUCCAGGUGUAGUGGUGAAAUACGUAGAUAUCUGGAGGAACACCGGUGGCGAAGGCGGCUAUCUGGUCGAGUACUGACACUGAGACACGAAAGCAUGGGGAUCAAACAGG
RNAcentral lists this ribosomal RNA (253 nucleotides) under uncultured bacterium. Its description in RNAcentral is "partial 16S ribosomal RNA". It matches the Rfam family "Bacterial small subunit ribosomal RNA", at positions 524 to 776 of the family's 1533-position model. The record is from RNAcentral.